RNAcentral lists this long non-coding RNA (1652 nucleotides) under Acanthaster planci (crown-of-thorns starfish). Its description in RNAcentral is "uncharacterized LOC110976923". Lineage: Eukaryota; Metazoa; Echinodermata; Asteroidea; Valvatida; Acanthasteridae. The record is from RNAcentral.
UCAAGGAACCAUUGAGGUUUCUGGCCCAAAAAGAAUGUCUCAACAAGGGUUCGUAAAGGGAUUCCACAGACCCCAGAUGAAGAAAAGUGAGCAGCUACGAGAUACGGGUGUUCAGUUAUACUGAUUCAUAUGAAAAGGCACUCCAUAAUGCAAAAUCGCAGAAGAUACGUCAACUGUCGAAUCGGUGGACAGCGAUGAUGAGCCCCGUCGACGAAAGCGACAUACUAGAUAUCAGUCGUUUUCCUCGUCAGAGGUGGGGAGUGACAGCAAAGAUUAUAUUGCACCAUUGAAGAAGCAACCAACCCCGAAGCCCCUACCAAAUCCCCCAGAUGUAGACAUCGAUAUUCUCAACCAAGUGACUAUGUCCCACGACACAACUCCAGCCUCCUCGGUCCCCUCGACUUCUUCAAAUGCUUCGUGCCGCGGCACAGAAGAAUCCUGUCCGAGAUGACGCGGACAAUGAAUGAAUGACAGCACUGCAUCCUCUGUUGGAAAACUAUACUGUCCGUAGUUUUUCUCACAUAAUUGAUAUCCUCAGCCUUUGUAAAAUAAGUUAUUUUGGCACUUUAACACACAGGUCCACACAUGAAUCUAGUUCACUUUGUACGUAUCACAAAAAAGAAAACAAUCAGGCCGUUGCUGAAUGCUUUUCCGUUAUUUUCUGUGCGUAUUUUGCCCCCAGUUCAUAACUUUCACAAAAGAUUGCAAACCAAAUAUUUUCGGGGAACCUGAAAAAUUCCACCAAAAUAUCACGAUCACAAAUAACAUCACAUCACUAAAAUUUAGUUACCCAGUUUCAUUUUGUAAUGGUAUCGACUGUCAAAGUUUAGAUCCAUCAAGAUCAUGGAGUACAUACUUUGUAAUAAAAGUAGAAAAAAAAAGUUAUUCUGAUUCAGUUGUUUUGUUGUCAUUCGUCGACAGGUAUGUUUAAUGUGGUAGGACUGAUGUAAAAAUGUGCAUAAGUGCAGCCGUUAAGCAUCAAAUAAGUGGUGCCCUCAAAGUUGCAGGAAUGUUGUCAACAAUGGUUGCGGUACAGUGUCUAAAUGGUUGCAGUACAAGUUGCAGUAACGUUCCCCAAAUGUUUCAGUACCGUACCAAAUUAGUUGCUAAAACGUCCCUCCAAUGUUGUAGUAUUGUACUCACGACGUUGCAGUAACGUCACUGGAAUGUUACAUUAAAGUUGCAUAGACGUGCCCAAAGGGUUGCAAAUAGGUUUCAAUAUCGUGCUCAUCAAGUUGUAAUCACGUCCCAAAGAGGUUGCAUACGCGUAUCUACAACUACAUUUAGCUACUACGUUCCAAAUGUGUUGCAAUGCAGUGUCAUAUACGUUGCAUUUAGGAAGCUGCAUAGUUGUAUUGACGUACCCACAAGUUGCACAAACGUCCUCGCCAACGUUGCAGUAAUGUGGCAGUUAAGUCGUGGUCGGGUUCCUACAGGGUUGUAAAGACGUAUCUGUUACGUGCCCAUUAAGUUGCCAAAACGUUGUGCCUUGGUAAAAAUCAGGUCGUAAAUAUGUUGCUAUUACGUGCCCAAAUGUUGUAAAAACGUGAUAUUUCGGUUGUCUGAAGUUUGCAGCAUUGUUGUAGACACGUCAAAACAUUACGUUGUAUUGACGUUGUAAAAACGUCUUCAUAACGUUGUGUGAUAACGUU